CUACGGGCCGCUGCAGUAAGGAAUAUUGGGCAAUGGACGCAAGUCUGACCCAGCCAUGCCGCGUGCAGGAUGACGGCCCUACGGGUUGUAAACUGCUUUUAUACGGGAAAAAUUCCCCGGUCGUGAAUCGGGGUUGAUGGUACCGUAAGAAUAAGCAUCGGCUAACUCCGUGCCAGCAGCCGCGGUAAUACGGAGGAUGCAAGCGUUAUCCGGAUUCAUUGGGUUUAAAGGGUGCGUAGGCGGAAUGAUAAGUCAGUGGUGAAAUCCUACAGCUUAACUGUAGAACUGCCAUUGAUACUGUUGGUCUUGAGUACAUUUGAAGUGGGCGGAAUGUGUCAUGUAGCGGUGAAAUGCAUAGAGAUGACACAGAACACCGAUCGCGAAGGCAGCUCACUAAACUGUAACUGACGCUGAGGCACGAAAGCGUGGGGAUCAAACAGGAUUAGAUACCCUAGUAGUC
Molecule: ribosomal RNA, 460 nt
Filed under: uncultured bacterium
Lineage: Bacteria
Description: partial 16S ribosomal RNA
Rfam family: Bacterial small subunit ribosomal RNA
Source: RNAcentral